AGUCACAAUAAGUUAAAUAUAACAAAACAACAUUAAUGUAUUGUAUUAUUUUUCGAUAUUCUCAGUUUUCAUUACUAUUCCGCAUGUAUUAAGGAGUACUGAUUUUUAUUACUAUCAUGAUUAUGUGUUUUUAAAGCAUGAUUUAAAGACAUCCACAAAUACACCAUUCGUAUGCGUGUUAACCAAAGAACCUCAUAAAUUUCAUUUUUAAUUAAUUUACUUAAAAACAUUUCAAUAAUUCUUAGUUCUUUAAGUAGUUAAAAUAUACUGUUAGUGUCGUAGUUUUAUUGGAAUUAUUAUUUUUUAAAGGCGGAUCAGUUUCUAUUUACGAAUUAAACUAAGUUGGUAUAAUUGAACGCACUUAUAAAACUUGUUAUUUAUGUAUCAUGGGUAUAGAAGGAAUUUUUAUCUAUGAUCGUCCCGCCCAUGAUUCAUCUUGUAUCCUUAUAUGCAUCAUGUUCAAUCAACGUUCAAUCAAUCAAUCGUGCCUUCGGUUGUCAAGAAGGCGGUAUGUCACCAUUUUUGCUGUCCAUAAACGGCGACGACACCAUAAGUUCAGACUUGCUUUUAGAUGACAUCCUUGGAUUCGAUGGGCAAACUGCUUACACAUGUAAUGUGUUUGUGACAAACAAACAAAAAACCAAAAUACUUAUAAUGAGCUAGUCAAGUAGGAUAGACGGUACUAACAAUGGUUUCUAUUAAAACACAAUAAAUGUAGGUAUAUCAAGAGGGCCAAUCAAAAGGGCUUGAAAUGUGGAGAAGCAGAUCCUCAACCGCUCUUUUUUCUCUUGGACUUGGAAAGGGCGUCAUUUGUGGAAAGGAUUAAAUGAACAAGAAGACAAAAAAUAAGGAUUCGAAACUUGGAGAAGUGGAGCCCCGUUGAUGCUCCCUCCCUCCCCUAAGACUUAAAGGUGUAAUUUUUGGAAAACAUUUGCACUAAAAUUCACAUCGUUGUGUAUAAGGUUGCAUAUGCGGUGUUCUGUCGUUCUUUCUGCUAUAUGACUCAUUUCACCAUCAUCAGUUGUAUUAUUAUUCGUUUCAUGGGCAUCUGUUGUCAACGCUUGAGAAUAAAAUUCAAACACCGUACAGUAAUCCUCGAGAUCGUUCAACAAAUGAGAGGGAAUUAAAGUUCAAGUUGAUCAUACUGGAACAACCAAUGUCUACAAUGGUGUUGUCUUUUUUGGACUAUAUCCUUAAUUUGCUGUUUCGUCUUCACCUUGCAGCAUUAUGCAGCAUUUUCAAGAGGUGAUCGCGAGCAAGAGGAAAUUUGUGGUGUAUUUCUCCUGGAUUUGGUUUGCUUUUCGCAGUUGCAAAAGUUGGAAUAUUACAGUCUAUUGUUCAUUAAGGUGAGAAUGUUUGAUAUAAUUAAAAUCAAUUGCCCUUUAUUAAUCUGUUACCACCCUAUCUGUUUCAGAUCGAUGGUGGAGAAGACAAAGAAGACCCCGUAGUUAAAAUAGUUCUCAGUACUAUUGCAUGCUUUUUAGUAGAAUUAAUUUUUUAUUAUGCAUGUUUUUUG
Agrilus planipennis (emerald ash borer) is the source of this 1516-nucleotide long non-coding RNA. RefSeq lists it as uncharacterized. The record is from RefSeq and is a predicted model, not a curated record. NCBI's taxonomy places the organism in Eukaryota, Metazoa, Arthropoda, Insecta, Coleoptera, Buprestidae. The transcript is spliced from 5 exons.